UACCCGCAGCUCAAGUGGUGGUCAUUAUUAUUGGGCUUAAAGCGUCCGUAGCUGGCUUGUUAGAUGCCUGGGUAAAUCGAUGUGCUUAACGCAUCGAAUUCCGGGUAGACCGGCAAGCUCGAGACCGGGAGAGGUGUAGGCUACUCGGGGGGUAGGGGUAAAAUCCUGUAAUCCUCCGGGGAGGACCAGUGGCGAAGGCGCUACACUAGAACGGCUCUGACAGUGAGGGACGAAGCCCUGGGGCGCAAACCGG
This 253-nucleotide ribosomal RNA is filed under the name uncultured bacterium. RNAcentral describes it as "partial 16S ribosomal RNA". It matches the Rfam family "Archaeal small subunit ribosomal RNA", at positions 474 to 727 of the family's 1478-position model. The record is from RNAcentral.